This 351-nucleotide long non-coding RNA is filed under the name Vitis vinifera (wine grape). Its description in RNAcentral is "long non-coding RNA (VVIN_LNC006163)". Lineage: Eukaryota; Viridiplantae; Streptophyta; Magnoliopsida; Vitales; Vitaceae. The record is from RNAcentral.
UUGUUUUAUGGCUCUUCUUUUAGUUGGGUACCACUCUAGCAGUCGUUUGAAUAUAGUGAAACAAUAUUGCUAUUAUAAGGACUAGAAAAAUGAAGUAAACAGACUUUUAGCAAAUUAUUCAGAAUAAGCUCCCAAACAUUUAUAUUUUCUAGACAAAUAACCUCUUAUUUCUUGAAUUUUUCUAGUAAUUUACUUGACUUCUCGGUUAGUAAUUAAUAUUCUCUAUUUCACUAGGAGAUUAUUUAUUUAUUCAUUUAUUAGAAUUCUCAUAUAUACAGAUCCAUGUGUGUGUAUUAGAUAUGCCUACUAUACUAAGUCUUUAGUUUAUGGGUUGAUACCACUUGUGGUAAG